This is a long non-coding RNA of Drosophila grimshawi, 858 nucleotides long. RefSeq lists it as uncharacterized. The transcript has 3 exons. The record is from RefSeq and is a predicted model, not a curated record. NCBI's taxonomy places the organism in Eukaryota, Metazoa, Arthropoda, Insecta, Diptera, Drosophilidae.
AAUAAAUAAAUAAAACACUUACAAAAAGCGCCCCCGAAAAAUGCUGAAUUGAGUUUUUCUACGCCCGUUAACACCCAGACAACAAUACCAACACCUACUCGUAUCCGUAUCCGUAACCGUAACCGUAAUCGUAAUCAUAUUUGUUAUAGUAACCCUCGUCGUACAUAUAUCGUAUGUUCCGUUUGUGUUUCAAUAUAUUCCAACAUAUAUAUAUAUAAAUACAUAAAUAUACAUUUAUUGUGGUACGCGCGCGGCGCAGCUUCCAACAGAUAUAGCGAUAUAGCAACUGUAUCAUUAUACAUAUACAGAUAUACCUAUAAAUCUGCCUGGAUCGCAAAGAUCGUACUAUUUUUUUUGAAGUGUUACAUACUCCCUCAAGUGCUACCAAAAUGCCUUAUAACAGCGUCACGCUUUAGUGUCCACAAGUGCUACUUACCACAAAUCAAACGAGUCCCCUGGGACCCUCGAGCAGUGUUGGUUAACAGCCCAACUCAGUCUCAACAGACAGUCAACAGUUUAACCAACACACGCAUUCAAUUGCUCUCUCUCUCUCUCUCUCUAUCUCCCUGCCUACAAGUCAUCAUCUUCUUCUUCUACAAGUGCCUCUUCCGGAUCGUCAUCGCACAACAGCCAAUCGCUUGUGCCUUUUAUGAGCGAGCGUGCGACUCGUGUUGGUCGUCGUUGUCGUCGGUUGAUGUCUCGGAUGUGGAUGUGGAUGUCGACCGGUGCCGGUGGUCAAAACAUUCAGUUCAAUUCAACGCUGUGAGCAACACACGCUGGAAGCGUCGAUGGAACCGCGUCGCGACGCAGCGGCAACGGCAGCAGCGGCAGCGACAACAAAAUCAACAACAACAAAAG